GGGGAAUAUUGCGCAAUGGGGGAAACCCUGACGCAGCGACGCCGUGUGAGGGAAGAAGGCUUUCGGGUCGUAAACCUCUGUCGGGAAGGAAGAACCCCCCAGGUCCGAAUAGGGCCUGGGGCUGACGGUACUUCCAAAGGAAGCACCGGCUAACUCCGUGCCAGCAGCCGCGGUAAUACGGAGGGUGCAAGCGUUAAUCGGAAUCACUGGGCGUAAAGCGCGCGUAGGCGGCUUUUUAAGUCGGACGUGAAAGCCCUCGGCUCAACCGGGGAGUUGGGUAGGAAACUGGGAGGCUUGGGUCCUGGGAGGGGUGGGGAAUUUCGGGGUGUGGGGGGAAAUUCCGUGGAUAUCGGGGGAACACCGGUGGCGAAGGCGGCCACCUGGACAGGUACUGACGCUGAGGCGCGAAAGCGUGGGGAGCAAACA
Molecule: ribosomal RNA, 426 nt
Filed under: uncultured Desulfovibrio sp.
Lineage: Bacteria; Pseudomonadati; Thermodesulfobacteriota; Desulfovibrionia; Desulfovibrionales; Desulfovibrionaceae
Description: bacterial SSU rRNA
Rfam family: Bacterial small subunit ribosomal RNA
Source: RNAcentral